RNAcentral lists this ribosomal RNA (513 nucleotides) under uncultured bacterium. Its description in RNAcentral is "partial 16S ribosomal RNA". It matches the Rfam family "Bacterial small subunit ribosomal RNA", at positions 28 to 523 of the family's 1533-position model. The record is from RNAcentral.
GACGAACGCUGGCGGCAUGCCUAAUACAUGCAAGUCGAGCGAACAGAUGAAGUGCUUGCACUUCUGACGUUAGCGGCGAGCGGGUGAGUAACACGUAAGGAAUCUACCUAUAAGCGGGGGAUAACAUUCGGAAACGGGCGCUAAUACCGCAUAAUAUCUUCUUCCGCAUGGAAGAAGAUUGAAAGACGGCCAUGCUGUCACUUAUAGAUGACCUUGCGGUGCAUUAGUUAGUUGGUGGGGUAAUGGCCUACCAAGACGAUGAUGCAUAGCCGACCUGAGAGGGUGAUCGGCCACAUUGGGACUGAGACACGGCCCAAACUCCUACGGGAGGCAGCAGUAGGGAAUCUUCCGCAAUGGGCGAAAGCCUGACGGAGCAAUGCCGCGUGAGUGAAGAAGGCCUUCGGGUCGUAAAACUCUGUUAUAAGAGAAGAACAAAUUGUAGAGUAACUGCUACAGUCUUGACGGUAUCUUAUCAGAAAGCCACGGCUAACUACGUGCCAGCAGCCGCGGUAA